Long non-coding RNA from Coregonus clupeaformis (lake whitefish), 267 nucleotides. RefSeq lists it as uncharacterized. NCBI's taxonomy places the organism in Eukaryota, Metazoa, Chordata, Actinopteri, Salmoniformes, Salmonidae. The record is from RefSeq and is a predicted model, not a curated record. The transcript is spliced from 3 exons.
CAGUUCUGUGGGAAUGCGCCUGGAACAAGGAGCUGCUGGAGACGCAUGGCUCAUUGGAGAUCGGGGGUAUGCCCUGGCUAAUGACGCCACUAACAAACCCUCAGACGCACCAAGAGGCCUCUUAUAACCAGAGGCACGCACGCACCCGCUCCACCAUUGAGCGAACCAUUGGUAUUCUGAAGGGGACGCUGGCUGUGUUGGGACACAGCAGGCGGGAAGCUGCUUUACAAGCCAGAGAAGGUUUGCAGAAUAAUCAUGGCCUGUUGU